UAAUGGUAGAAAAGAUAGAUAAGAAAGAAAUUAAAUACACAAAUGUUGACUUAAAUAGUUCCAGGAUCUUCCACUUGGGAUUCUCUUGUCUCCAUUUAUUGAAGAGGAGUCCAGAACUCCCAUAAAGCAAAGCACCUGGCUUGAGUACACUCACCUAUCAACAACAGCAUCUGGAAUAAAUUGUCCUUGCAGAGCAAAGCCUGGAGACUGUGCUGAUUAGCACCUGCUAGUGGACAAGUAUGGUUCUACAUCUUCUGAGAAUUCUGACAUCCAAAUUUGGUCAUCUUAAAAGGAGUCUGUAGUGUAUUUCCAGCACGUAGGGGGAAAAAAAUAUAUUCUCAUCAGGUGCAAUGUGGAACAACAAGCUGGAAAUUAAGGUCGAAGCACCAACUCAGCAAAUUCAGGGCGGCCAUUUUGUGAUUUGCUGUUGACUGAAAAUGACAGGACUCAGAUUGCCAACGUCACAUGACCACACAAAAAAAACAGGU
Syngnathus typhle (broad-nosed pipefish) is the source of this 488-nucleotide long non-coding RNA. RefSeq lists it as uncharacterized. The transcript is spliced from 6 exons. Lineage: Eukaryota; Metazoa; Chordata; Actinopteri; Syngnathiformes; Syngnathidae. The record is from RefSeq and is a predicted model, not a curated record.